This is a non-coding RNA of Odocoileus virginianus texanus, 350 nucleotides long. NCBI's taxonomy places the organism in Eukaryota, Metazoa, Chordata, Mammalia, Artiodactyla, Cervidae. The record is from RefSeq and is a predicted model, not a curated record.
GUCAUGCUUGUAGGGUGCAGGGAAGGAGGGAACAAGAGCAGCCUAGGCGGUCACAAUAGAGUAAUGACUCCCAGUUGCUAAGUGCCCACUGAAUGCUGUCUCUGAUCCUUGGCUUUACAGACUGAACAACCAAGGUUCAAAGAAGUGAGGUAACCUCCUAAAGGCCAGAACUAGAGACCCUCUGGGGAACUAGCCUUUCAGGAUGCCACCCCACCUCACAGUACCUUUGGCCCCGCCCCUGCCUGGGGUCCUGGAAUCCGAGAGGCUCCGCCCCCAGCACCCUGCCAGGCCCCCUGGACACCUCACCUUGAUCUCAGCCAGCUUCGUGCCCCGGCUGCAGUCCCACACCG